GGCUGUGGGAGGCGGUGACUUACCCUCUAACCUUCAGAUGGAGGUUGUUUCCAACCCUGAGACUGAGAUGGUCGACCUUCCUGCUCCUUCGGGGGUCUCAAUGGUCGUCUCAACUGUCAUUUCAACGGUCGCAACCACCAACGGUACAAACGGGACGUCUGAUCCUCCGGGCAAAGACCCCCGGAGCCCCGAACACAAGAGCCCUGACCCCCGGAGCCCUGAACACAAGAGCCCUGACCCCCGGAGCCCAGAGGGAACCUGCACCACCAACAGCUUCUCUGAGAACAAGAUGUCUGGCGUCACCCCUCCAGAGACGGCGGUGGAGAAGAAGCAGGAGGAGAUCAGCGAUGACAGCAGCAGCAACAACAACAACAACAACAAAACCUCAGAACCCUCCCAGCAUUCUUUGCCAGCUCUCGUCAGCAGUUUAGACAAUAAGAAGUAAUGCCAGGUCUCUCCAGUGGCGGGAAUUCAAACAUAUAUAUAUAAAAAAAAAAAGACUUUGCUUGCGCCCGACGGUGCCCUGAAGUUGCCAAUCUGUAUAAAUGUUGUUUGUUUGCAUCGUAUUGUCAGACUGUGUCAAUGGUAGAUAUACAGCCCAGGUCACAUGACUCUGGCGACGCACCAGUGUCAUCAUGCCAAUUAGUGAUAGACGUCCAGUGUGGAGAUGCUCAAAGGGAGAUUAAUUCAUCAUCACACCAGUGUGUGCCUGUUAACGUGGCCCCUGUGUUCUCUGUUAGGGGUGGACAAAAAACGAGAGCAUGGAUCCGAUCUGUCAGGGGUUACUGGUCUAAAGAAGCAGUGUUGUGAUAGAGUAAUGAAAAGAGAGCCUGUGCACCCCCUCGUCCCAAUGAACCUAAACUUCUGCAACCCUGAUACCCUCUUCCUGUGAAAACCCCUGAACCCCAACCCCCAGUCCUCCAACAAUCCAAUGUCACCUCCCCUAUCGUCCGCCGAACAUUUAGCUCUUUAUUAGCUUCUAAACUGGCUGCUUUUGCAACAAUUUGGUCCAGGUCCGUUAUCCAAUCAGACCGUAAACAAUGACCAUGGGUUGAGCUAGGUUGUACAAAGUGUCGUUCAAACGCAGAAAAAGUCACCAAAAUGAUCAGGCGCAGGCGACAGGUCGGGGGGGGGAAGUUGUUGGUGGUACGCGGAUUGGUGAUCCAGAAGACUAAGGUCACUCAUAGACCGAAAGGGGUUCAAUAUUCAAAGAACAAAUACUAGACCUUCUGUUGCAGGACCAAGCAUCCUGACACCUUUAAACCAACCCAUAACUUCCAAACUAGUGUCCAGCUGUAGACGCGUUCAUUCAACCAACAUACAUGACCUUCCCCUCGAGAAACCAAACAUUCCCCAUUCAUUCCUCCUGAACCCCAAAGGGUUUAGCACACUCCAUACAUGUUGGGAAAGCUAGAAGAAUCGUUGUUUGAAGCGUCCGGACCCCGUUAAACCAACACACCCAACUUUCAAAUCAGUCUGUGAACAUAACGUCUGUUCAUUUAUUUCCCCCUUAUUUGAACAAUGUGAUCACAUGACUCCUUCUGAUGUUACUCCAGAUCUGCUGUAAGCUAGCUAGCUAACGUAGCUAACCUAGUCAUUUCUGAUUUUCUGACAAACACAUGAGACGACUAACUCUGAGACAGAGACAGUUGCAUCGUUUCUGAAGCUGCAGCGCGUUUGCACCUGUUUGCCACCGUACAGACAAGUUAGCGUCGCACAAAGACAAUCUCACUGAUGUUUUUAGACUUCUCAAACGGUCUAGAACCAGAAACCGUGUUCAUUCAACAACAAAGAACCCCUCUGGUUACUAAAGACGAAACGUAGCUUCGCCAGUUCAAACAUCCCGUUCCAACAACCCAAAAACCCUCUCCCAGUGGACCAAUGACCAAACCCCCCGAAUACUGACCCCCACACCCCUGUUCCCCUGACUUGAUGCUGAAGUGUUCGGCGGGACGAGGCCAGCUGUGGCCUCACAGAUGUUUCCAGUGGUGUCGGUCAAGUGUAGUGAUUGAGUUUUCAUUCGUGAGUCAAGUGUGUCAACUGUGAGCACUAAAUGUGAAAUUGCAAUAUUGCAAUGUCAACACAAACUAUAUCUGGGCUGUGUUUCUUUUUAUAGGAAAAGAUAUUCAGGUCUUCCUAGUCUUCAGAAUAAGUGCUUUCUGUUCCUGAACCUGCUGGACUGGCAUUAUCAACACAGUGGUGAUCUCUGCUUUCUGUCGAACCCUGAACUGCCAAAUGAUGUUGUCUCCAGAUCCAGCAGGGACCAGUCCGUCUACGGAAAGAUCAAAUCAUUGGCGUUGUGAGAUGUAUAGAUGCGUCCCCAGAUCGAGACAGGAGAGCUUACUAAACAAUAACCGAGGAUCUUUGGGUCUCAAAGGAACCACAAAUCCUGAGAUUAAAGCACAAGCUUGCUGCAUCACAAAGAAGAGCUUUUUGUAUGUUAAUAUGGAGACAGAGCAUCUCUUUGUUGUGAUGUGACUUAUCCCCACAUUGCCAAUAUUUUUCUAGGAGGAAAUCCAAACCUCUGUGUGACAUUGAAGGUGUGUUCCUGGGUUAGCAUCUCUCCCUUCUCUGGAGCUCGUCUGAGUUUCUCCGCUGAAUCAUGACUUCUGGCUCCUCCUCCACUAACGGUGCUUUCUGUUUCUUUCUUUCUGCAAUGUUGGAGCUGUUUCUGCUUAAAGUGUAGUCGUGAAAACACGAAUUCACCGCUGAGAAGCCAUGAAGAUGAUUGUCCUGAAAUCAUGAGAAGCUGUUUUUACUGACGGGGGGUUAGCAGCCAUGCUAGUGGCCACGAGAAGGCCUCAAUUUGGACAUAUCUCUACACCUAUUGGAUGAAUGACGAUGAUAUUUUGGGUGAUCCGUCAAUUUUUUUUAUCCGCAGCCCCACGUUUAGUGAAAUAUCUCAACACUAGUUUUGCUAACAUUUCAGAUAUUCGCCACCAGGCCUUUCUUCAGACGUCUCAGUGAAGGAUCUCCCGGGACUAUAUUUUAUGACCAGAUUCACGUUAGCGUUGCCACUGUUAGCCUGUUAGCAUGCUAACUAUAGCAAUUAGCUCUAACGGAAGAAGCUGCUAGCAUGGCUGUAGACUCGUGUUAGGAUGACAUUCUUAAAUAAUAUUAAUAAAUGACAAAACUACAAUGUGUUCCCGUGCAACAGAACUGCUUUUAUAGAGUGCUAUGGCUGUCUUAAACGUGGGAAUUAAAGUUAAAAAAAAAUACAACAAACUACUUCCUGUCUGAAACUAAGCCAGCGUUGAAUGGUCCUGAGUUUCCUCCGUUAGAUUCAGAGGAUUCUCCCGGACGAUGCGUUUCUGCUGCGUGGGAACGUGGUUCUGUAGUCGUGAGCGCAGCGGUGAAUACGAUGUGUGGCGACUUUAAAAACAAGGUGUUACAUGUGUCUUUUUUUAUCAUAUCAUAUUGUACCAACAUAUCUAACACACCACGUUUUGAGUUUCUGACGUCAGCUGUACAAACUGCCUUCAUCAGGAGAUCCAGAGCAGAAGAGAGGGUUUCUACGACGAGGACAACAGGAAGUGGACCUUUGUUCCUCCUGAUUCUUGAUUGUUCGGUUUUAAACGGUUCUCUUUGCCCCCCCCCCCUCUGUACAGUAGGUACCUCGAGUGCCUUUUCUUCAAACAGCAGAUAAUAUUUGUCUCUUGACUUGCACUGUGACUUGUAGAAACCUCCCCCAGCUCUUCACUUCCUCAGGCAACGGAAACAUCAUUUUCAUAUUUCUUCGUUUCUUCUCGACCACAUUGUGUUUCCUCGUUGUUUUUUAUUAUUAUAGGAGUUGCCUUAAAUGUGUUUUAUUUUCCUUCCUGAGCGCGGAGAGAUCCCAGCCUGGUGGAUGUGGUGGAUGUGGUGGCGGGGGAAUCACUCCAGAGAGAGAUUAAUGGGAUGUUUGACAGCCGGACGUUUGGCGAUGCACUUUUUGUUUCGACCAGUAUUAUUGAUAUUAUUGAUAUUAUUAUGGGCGUGUAGGAAAACAAAAAACAAGGAUCCGUCAUGAAUCUAGAGACUCGUUCCCCUCCCUCUUCGUUCCCUCGAUGCCGUGGUUCCUCGUCUUGUGUUUCUGGAUUUUCUGCUUAAAACAAGCUAACCGCGGCGCGCAGACCUGUCCUAGCAUGCCUUCUUAUGCAAAUUUUAUACCAGAUUUGUCAAACCUUUUUUAAAUAUGCAUUUGUUUUUUAACUUCUUUUUUUAUGUGAAACUCAAGUCACCUUUAUUCCGUUGAACAUUGUGCAGUUUGGGUGUUUCUCGUUUCUUCCUGACGUCGUGUUUAGACUUUCAUUUGGACUCGGCUAACGCACCAUGCUGAAUGUUUGGGCUGGGCGGGGCUUUUUUUAUUGAGUUAUCCUAUUUGGUCUAAAAAGUGAAUUUAUCCGAAGAGAACGGCUAAAUGCUUUUCUAUUGGAAAGCAUUUUGAAAAACGAAAGCCCCAAGAGGCGAGGAAAAAUAAAAAUCUGUUGGUGCGUUUUUUAAGAAUCUGAUCUGAAUUGUUUUAUGAUUAUGAUUCAAGAAAAUUUCAAUGAGUGUUUUGCUAAUCAACAAAAAGUGUUUAUUUUAAAUCCUCUUUGAAACAGGUGGAUGAACUCGGCGGUUCCUUUAUUUCAUCUGUGAAAAUAGGUGGAAAAAAUAAAUGUACGGGUAAUUUUAGAUGAGUGUUUGUUGUUGUAAUACUCAUUUUGACCAUAAGAGGUUGAAGUACUCUCCUGUUUCAAACACUUGUUCUUCAUGGUAGUUUUUAAAUCACUUCAUGAUCUCUAAACACACAUACGAAUAUGUAAAUAUAAUAUAUACUUCACCUCUUGUGGUUUAAAUUAGUAUUACAUUUAAAAUACUGGUUAAAAAAUGUUUUUCAUAGAUUAAAAAAUAGGUUUUUAUUAGCUUAGUAUGUGUUGUUGUAAUACUCCUUUUGACCACAAGAGGCUGUGACUUCAUGCUCCCUAAACACAAUAUAUAAAUAUAAAAUAUACUUCACCUAUUAUGGAUUACAUUAGUAUUGCAUCAAUAAAAACUGGCAAAAAUAAGUCAAGGAUAAUUGUAUUAGAUGAGUGUUUGUUGUUGCAAUACUCAUUUUGACCACAAGUGGCUGAAAUGCUCGCCCAUGUCCUUUAUACUAAAAAAACAACCUGUUCGUUUUUGUGUUUUUUUAAUUACUUAAUGCCCUCUAAUCACACAUACUAAUACUUAAAUAGAACAUAUACUUCACCUCUUGUGGUUUAAAUUAGUAUUACAUCAAAGAAACUGGGGGAUCACUUAGGGAUUGUUGUUGUAAUACUCCUUUUGACCACAAGAGGCUGAAGAACUCGCCCAUGUUCUUAACACUAAAAAACCUGUUCAUUUGUGUGUUUUGUAAUGACUUCAUGCUCUCUGAACACAACAUAGAAAUGAAUUAAUGUAACAUAUACUUCACCUCUUGUGGUUUAAAUUAGUAUUACAUCUAAAAAACUGGGGGAAAGUGUGUUCGCUUGGAGUUUGUUGUUAUAAUGCUCCUUUUGACCACAAGAGGCUGAAGUACUUGCCCAUGUUCUUUAUAUUUAACUAUAUACAAAUACAUAAAUAUAACAUAUACUUCACCUCUUGUGAUAUGAGUAUUACAUCAGUUGCACAAUUUAACAAAUGGCAACAAAAACAAUCUGCUUUUUCCCCACUUGUUUCACAAAAGGAAAAAGAUAAACGUAGGAACAUUUUAACCUUUUAAGUUCUGAACACAAAUGCGUCACCUUUUUAUUUUUGCCCCUCCGAGCCUCCGUACAUUUUCUGCAAUUGAUGCAUAUCGUUUAUUAUAAUUUGACGCUCAUCUCGUGGAUUCUUUUGAAAGCAGUUCUUUAUUUUAACGAACGAUCAAGUCCUGAUUGUGGCCUUCUAGUAUUGUGUGGAGACAUCGACCCGCUGUCCAUCCCGUCCGGAUCCAACUGUUCGCCCCGAGCUUCUUACCUCGUCGUCCACGGCUAAUCCAUCGGGGGUGUUGAGUGCAACAAAAAAAAAAAACACAAAAUAAAGUCUUUUUUUAUCUUCCAUACGGUGAGGCAUUGUAGCGACGGAGAGGUCACCCGGUGUGCUGAAUAAUGUGUAGGAAUUACACACUCUGAAUAUUUGUAUAAUUGUUUGUAUUUUUUCAUAAUGAUUUUGGAAAGGAAUGUGUUUAUUUUUUUGACUUGUGUUCCAGACGUGUCUUCUGUUGGCCUGACAUGGGGGCGGUCUGCUGGGAUUCUUACCUCUGUAUUGAGCCUAUUCUUCUGUGAUGACUUCUUUGUAUGCAGUGUUUAGGAAAUACUGUGGGGAACAAGGGGAGGAGUUGAUAUUAGGAGCAUUUGAUCAAUUUGUAUUUAUUAUUUUAUCAUUUUGUAAUAAUUGUGAAAA
Notothenia coriiceps (black rockcod) is the source of this 6366-nucleotide long non-coding RNA. RefSeq lists it as uncharacterized. Lineage: Eukaryota; Metazoa; Chordata; Actinopteri; Perciformes; Nototheniidae. The transcript has 2 exons. The record is from RefSeq and is a predicted model, not a curated record.